RNAcentral lists this ribosomal RNA (406 nucleotides) under Streptomyces thermocarboxydovorans. RNAcentral's name for it is "bacterial SSU rRNA". It matches the Rfam family "Bacterial small subunit ribosomal RNA", at positions 60 to 489 of the family's 1533-position model. Lineage: Bacteria; Bacillati; Actinomycetota; Actinomycetes; Kitasatosporales; Streptomycetaceae. The record is from RNAcentral.
AGUCGAACAAUGAAGCCCUCCGGGGGGAUUAGUGGCGACGGGUAGUAACACGGGGCAAUCUGCCCUGCACUUUGGGACAAGCCCUGGAAACGGGGUCUAAUACCGGAUACGACCUGCCGAGGCAUCUUGGUGGGUGGAAAGCUCCGGCGGUGCAGGAUGAGCCCGCGGCCUAUCAGCUUGUUGGUGAGGUAACGGCUCACCAAGGCGACGACGGGUAGCCGGCCUGAGAGGGCGACCGGCCACACUGGGACUGAGACACGGCCCAGACUCCUACGGGAGGCAGCAGUGGGGAAUAUUGCACAAUGGGCGCAAGCCUGAUGCAGCGACGCCGCGUGAGGGAUGACGGCCUUCGGGUUGUAAACCUCUUUCAGCAGGGAAGAAGCGCAAGGACGGUACCGCAGAAGAA